Molecule: long non-coding RNA, 672 nt
Organism: Larimichthys crocea (large yellow croaker)
Lineage: Eukaryota; Metazoa; Chordata; Actinopteri; Sciaenidae
Exons: 3
Source: RefSeq, a predicted model, not a curated record
AAAGUUUGAUAAAUUCAGCUAAAAAAAUAUUAAGAUUAUUUUUAAAGCUACUGUGACAUUACUAAGCCCUGUUGUAUUUUAUAUGGCUGUUACCAACAGCUAGAGAAUUUUAAAGGGGACAUAUUAUGAAAAAAAUCACCGCUCCCCUUUGGGAGCCAACACCCUGUCUCCACCCACCACGCCCUACAGGUUAUAAGAGCGCAGAGCUCAGGUGAAGCUCCGACAUUUUCUGCUUCACAGAUAGGAAUGGUUGGGUAGACCUAAACAUGCUCGUUACUCUGUUGGCGGCAGUGACCGGCACAAGUAUAUUGGCCCCAGCCUCAGAGGACUGAAGUUUACUUUUACCGGAGACGUCCCCACACUGUUGAUGCGACCUGAGUGUGUGUGUGUAGGCGAUGCGUUGUGUGCUUCACAGCGGACAAAUACUAUGCAGCACAGAACAGGACGGCAAUGAGACCUAACAUGAAAGAGGAGCAAUACCAACUACAGACGAUACUCUACCUGGCAGCCCUCCACUUCAAUGAAAGUGUUGGGCGUCCCUAAGCUACAACAUCAUCUGAUUAUGUUGGACCUCAUCUUUGAAAAAGGUUUUCCUAGAUUCUGGCCCACACGUGGAUGAGGUGCUGAAGAUCCCCAUCCCUGAGGAUUUUGCAGCCCAGUUUGCAAGACCAG